This 760-nucleotide ribosomal RNA is filed under the name Bacillus subtilis. Its description in RNAcentral is "bacterial SSU rRNA". It matches the Rfam family "Bacterial small subunit ribosomal RNA", at positions 558 to 1318 of the family's 1533-position model. Lineage: Bacteria; Bacillati; Bacillota; Bacilli; Caryophanales; Bacillaceae. The record is from RNAcentral.
GCGUAAAGGGCUCGCAGGCGGUUUCUUAAGUCUGAUGUGAAAGCCCCCGGCUCAACCGGGGAGGGUCAUUGGAAACUGGGGAACUUGAGUGCACAAGAGGAGAGUGGAAUUCCACGUGUAGCGGUGAAAUGCGUAGAGAUGUGGAGGAACACCAGUGGCGAAGGCGACUCUCUGGUCUGUAACUGACGCUGAGGAGCGAAAGCGUGGGGAGCGAACAGGAUUAGAUACCCUGGUAGUCCACGCCGUAAACGAUGAGUGCUAAGUGUUAGGGGGUUUCCGCCCCUUAGUGCUGCAGCUAACGCAUUAAGCACUCCGCCUGGGGAGUACGGUCGCAAGACUGAAACUCAAAGGAAUUGACGGGGGCCCGCACAAGCGGUGGAGCAUGUGGUUUAAUUCGAAGCAACGCGAAGAACCUUACCAGGUCUUGACAUCCUCUGACAAUCCUAGAGAUAGGACGUCCCCUUCGGGGGCAGAGUGACAGGUGGUGCAUGGUUGUCGUCAGCUCGUGUCGUGAGAUGUUGGGUUAAGUCCCGCAACGAGCGCAACCCUUGAUCUUAGUUGCCAGCAUUCAGUUGGGCACUCUAAGGUGACUGCCGGUGACAAACCGGAGGAAGGUGGGGAUGACGUCAAAUCAUCAUGCCCCUUAUGACCUGGGCUACACACGUGCUACAAUGGACAGAACAAAGGGCAGCGAAACCGCGAGGUUAAGCCAAUCCCACAAAUCUGUUCUCAGUUCGGAUCGCAGUCUGCAACUCGACUG